AUGCAUGCUGUAAAUACUCGUAUUAAAUUUAAAUGCAGUAUUUCUGGGAGCAGAACACCGUUGAUGAGAUUCCCAUUUCUGCCAGAAGGCGUCACCUAUAGUGAAGACCGAAUGUCUGGAGCAGGCCACAGGAGACAUAUGAUUCUCAUUGUGAGGAUGAAAGGCUUCCCAGUCUUUCGUAUGUCUGGGAGAGCCGGAUUGGGUGGGUGGAAGCACUUGUGUCGUGAUCCCCUCUCAUCCAUGUGGUGUUGCUUUAUGCUCCGUGGGUAUGGAUUCAUUGUAGUGAAAUUGAAACUUCAUGACAUGUCAUUGUUAUAAACUUAUAAAUAAUUUAUUUCGCCCCGAAGAGCGAUCGCUGCUUCAGAGGUGCCCAAUUGGCUGAGACAUGGUUUGUCUUUGACCCAGUUUGACCAUGUUGAAACAUUUUCCCUUUUUAUCUCUCAUGCGCGCUCACAUUCAACUCUAGCCGCUUUUCAGCACGUCGCUUAGCCUGUUUUUAACUUUUUGCUUCAUAAAAAAUCCAUAAAACCUCACAUGUCGCAAUGCCUUUUUGUAUUGUUUUAUGGUGGCUGCUUGGGAAGGGUAUAAAAAAAUCAUAGUAGAAAUGAACCCUGUAGACUUCGCUAUCUGCCUCGUCAUCACUGCUAGCUAGUUCACUUGCUAACAUAUGUCUGUCAAUGAGCUUAUAUUUUCACCUUAUCCUCGAAGACUACAGCUGGCCUGCUCUUAAUGCUCUUUGUACAUAAACCCCGCUCUUAGUCACAGGUGCUUUUUCCACCUUGCAUAGGAUAAAGAGUCUGAUUCAUGCUAGUUUUUGCUUAAAUCGUACAGUUUGUGACCUGACCUGUGCACAUACUGCACCAGAAAAGUGAUUUUUUUAGUAGAGAAUAUGUACUGGCCCGGUUCUUCAGGUUCUCCCACUGCUAAGUUAAUUAGUGUCUUUUGAAAAGUUCAUUGUUGAUGUUGGGCCAGAAAUGUUUUACUUUUCAAAUAAUUUUUGUGGUGUUUUAUGCAUGUUGGGGAAUCUAGGAGUGAAGAUGUUUCUGCUACCUGGUAUGCAAGGCCAGUGUCUCUUUGAUGUCUUGCUCAGAAGCACAGGUACGCAGCUGAUUAAGAAACUGGGCUGGUACUACAAAGAUUUGAUUGAAGUGUUAACUAGAUCAGACUCCAUUGGGAACAUUUGGUUUUCUGAAAUUACUCUGGGUUAAAAAAUAAGACAUCAGAGAAAUAGCAAGCAACUGGAUCUCAGAAGACUGUAAAAUGUGCCCAUUUAGGAAGCGCUGCAGACUCCGGCUGGUUUAGGCCUAGAGGAUAAUUUUAUUGAUUAGAGGUUGCUCAUUUAUUUCUCAUGAGAUCCAGUGGAGGCCUCAGUUAUUUGUUCAUUUUGGUGUGAACUUUGUCUCAGAUGUUUCUGCUAAAAAUCCUUAAAAUACAUCUCCAUUCAAACAUUUGGGGUUGGUAUGUUUUUAAAAGAAGUAUAUUUUGCUUACCAAGGCUGUAUUUUCCUGAUCAAAAAUAUAGGAAAAACAGUAAUAUUCUGAAAUAUUAUUACAAUUUAACACAGCUGUUUUCUAUGUUAAUAUAUGGUAAAAUAUAAUUUAUUGCUGUGAUCAAAGCUGUAUUUACAGCAUCAUUACUCCAGUCUUCAGUGUCACAUGAUCCUUCAGAAAUCACUCUAAUAUGCUGAUUUGCUGCUCAAGAAACAUUUCUGAUUUUUCAGUGUUGUGCUGCUUCAUAUUUUUGUGGAAAACAUGAUACUUUUCAGGAUUCUUUGAAGUAAAAAAAAUAAAAAAAGCUUUUAUCUGAAACAAAUCUCUACUGUC
Molecule: long non-coding RNA, 1823 nt
Organism: Cyprinus carpio carpio
Lineage: Eukaryota; Metazoa; Chordata; Actinopteri; Cypriniformes; Cyprinidae
Source: Ensembl